GUGAGGAAUAUUGGUCAAUGGGCGAGAGCCUGAACCAGCCAAGUCGCGUGAAGGAUGAAGGUUUUAUGAAUUGUAAACUUCUUUUGCAGGGGAAUAAAGUACGGUACGUGUACCGUUUUGUAUGUACUCUGCGAAUAAGGAUCGGCUAACUCCGUGCCAGCAGCCGCGGUAAUACGGAGGAUCCAAGCGUUAUCCGGAUUUAUUGGGUUUAAAGGGUGCGCAGGCGGGUUGAUAAGUCAGCGGUGAAAGUUUGCAGCUUAACUGUAAAAUUGCCGUUUAAACUGUCGAUCUUGAGUGCAAAUGAGGUAAGCGGAAUGUGUUGUGUAGCGGUGAAAUGCUUAGAUAUAACACAGAACACCGAUUGCGAAGGCAGCUUACUGGGAUGCAACUGACGCUCAUGCACGAAAGCGUGGGGAUCAAACAGGAUUAGAAACCCUGGUAGUCC
RNAcentral lists this ribosomal RNA (445 nucleotides) under uncultured bacterium. RNAcentral describes it as "partial 16S ribosomal RNA". It matches the Rfam family "Bacterial small subunit ribosomal RNA", at positions 354 to 796 of the family's 1533-position model. The record is from RNAcentral.